This 72-nucleotide transfer RNA is filed under the name Ictidomys tridecemlineatus (thirteen-lined ground squirrel). RNAcentral describes it as "Spermophilus tridecemlineatus (thirteen-lined ground squirrel) tRNA". It matches the Rfam family "tRNA". From Rfam's summary of the family: Transfer RNA (tRNA) molecules are approximately 80 nucleotides in length. Their secondary structure includes four short double-helical elements and three loops (D, anti-codon, and T loops). Further hydrogen bonds mediate the characteristic L-shaped molecular structure. tRNAs have two regions of fundamental functional importance: the anti-codon, which is responsible for specific mRNA codon recognition, and the 3' end, to which the tRNAs corresponding amino acid is attached (by aminoacyl-tRNA synthetases). tRNAs cope with the degeneracy of the genetic code in two manners: having more than one tRNA (with a specific anti-codon) for a particular amino acid; and 'wobble' base-pairing, i.e. permitting non-standard base-pairing at the 3rd anti-codon position. Lineage: Eukaryota; Metazoa; Chordata; Mammalia; Rodentia; Sciuridae. The record is from Rfam by way of RNAcentral.
GGGGAUAUAGCUCAGUUGGUAGAGUGCUUGCCUUGCAUGCAAAGGCUUGGGGUUCAAUCCCCAGCACCACCA